CAGCAGCCGCGGGAAUACGUAGGUGGCAAGCGUUGUCCGGAAUUAUUGGGCGUAAAGGGCUCGCAGGCGGUUUCUUAAGUCUGAUGUGAAAGCCCCCGGCUCAACCGGGGAGGGUCAUUGGAAACUGGGAAUCUUGAGUGCAGAAGAGGAGAGUGGAAUUCCACGUGUAGCGGUGAAAUGCGUAGAGAUGUGGAGGAACACCAGUGGCGAAGGCGACUCUCUGGUCUGUAACUGACGCUGAGGAGCGAAAGCGUGGGGAGCGAACAGGAUUAGAUACCCCUGUAGUCCCUGUCUCUUAUAC
This 301-nucleotide ribosomal RNA is filed under the name uncultured bacterium. RNAcentral describes it as "partial 16S ribosomal RNA". It matches the Rfam family "Bacterial small subunit ribosomal RNA", at positions 509 to 807 of the family's 1533-position model. The record is from RNAcentral.